Molecule: ribosomal RNA, 541 nt
Filed under: Pseudarthrobacter phenanthrenivorans Sphe3
Lineage: Bacteria; Bacillati; Actinomycetota; Actinomycetes; Micrococcales; Micrococcaceae
Description: bacterial SSU rRNA
Rfam family: Bacterial small subunit ribosomal RNA
Source: RNAcentral
CCUCGCAUGGGCGCAGCCUGAUGCAGCGACGCCGCGUGAGGGAUGACGGCCUUCGGGUUGUAAACCUCUUUCAGUAGGGAAGAAGCGAAAGUGACGGUACCUGCAGAAGAAGCGCCGGCUAACUACGUGCCAGCAGCCGCGGUAAUACGUAGGGCGCAAGCGUUAUCCGGAAUUAUUGGGCGUAAAGAGCUCGUAGGCGGUUUGUCGCGUCUGCCGUGAAAGUCCGGGGCUCAACUCCGGAUCUGCGGUGGGUACGGGCAGACUAGAGUGAUGUAGGGGAGACUGGAAUUCCUGGUGUAGCGGUGAAAUGCGCAGAUAUCAGGAGGAACACCGAUGGCGAAGGCAGGUCUCUGGGCAUUAACUGACGCUGAGGAGCGAAAGCAUGGGGAGCGAACAGGAUUAGAUACCCUGGUAGUCCAUGCCGUAAACGUUGGGCACUAGGUGUGGGGGACAUUCCACGUUUUCCGCGCCGUAGCUAACGCAUUAAGUGCCCCGCCUGGGGAGUACGGCCGCAAGGCUAAAACUCAAAUGAAUUGACGGA